UGAGGAUCUGGGUCUUGAUGGCUGCUGAAGCUUCUACUUCAGAUUUGAAGGGCAUCAGUCCUAAGGAGACCCCCAGGACUUCCAUCCCUGGUGGGAUAUGAUGCCUGGCACAAUGUGACGUGGGUGAAGGAGUUCUUAUUGAACCAUGGGAGGAAGAAAUAGUACAGAAGAGCAAAGAAUAAUAAUGAGUCAGCUAGACAGAAGACAGGAGUCAUCAGAUUUGUACCAUAGUUACUUGACCCAUCAACUGACUGUGGUUUUUGGGUUGUCUGGCUAUCUGACGGAAAGGAGAAAGGAAGAAACACGAGAAGAACAAAUACCCAUUCAUAUCUCAACACUGUGACCUGCUAUAUAUGCCUCUUUACAUGUGUACUGUCUUUCAGAGCUACUAAACCAGACACACCACUUUUCCAGUUUACGUGCUAUAGAGAGCACUAACAGAAUUGGUACAUAUCAUUUUUCAGUCAUUUAAAAAAAAUGUGAUGUGUUCAAAGUCUUAAGUCACCUGUUUCCCAGGUGACAGCCAGCCCAAAACAAUGUUGCAAUGUAUCUUUGUGUGUGUGUGUGUGUGUGUGUGUUUUUCUUGAGACGGGAGCUCUUUAGCCUCCUUAUGUUGCUCAGGCUGGAGUGCAAUGGCUAUUAACAGGCACAAUCACAGCACACUACAGCCUAGAACUCCUGGGCUCAAGUGUUCCUCUCACUUCAGCCUCCCAAGUAGCUGGGAUUUGCAGUGUAUCUUGAAUGUGAAAUAUCUUCCCAUUGUCCAGGCAUAAUUUCCCAACUUUUAUUCACGCUAUUACACAUCUAUGUCUGUAAAUCUGGAACUAAUCUGGGCAGUCUUGGUGAAAAAAAGUCAGUGAUUGCCAGGAGUUGGUUUUUAUGUGUCCAAUCUACUAUCCAAAUCCCUCGGUUAGUUUAGGUAUGCAUCCCAUUUAGAACUUGAUAUGAUUUGUUAUUACAUGUGAUUGGCAUGUGUAUAUUUUCCUUUCGGUUUAAUAUUUUUAAUUGUAUAAGCAAGGUACUUCAUACAUGUGUUGAUUACUCCUGGGGCCCUGGGCCGAGUGAGACUGUAACUCUACUUUUACCCUGAAUCCCGCUGUGUUAGGAUUCUCUCCUCUGGAAGCUGUGGUGCUGAGCCCUAGUGGUUUCAUGCAGUCCCUCCCCUUUCCCUCCCAUGUGACAGUCACUGCUUGGCCAACUAGGUGGGUAAACAGAGGAGCCUGCUGUCAAUUCAAAG
This 1237-nucleotide long non-coding RNA is filed under the name Pongo abelii (Sumatran orangutan). Its description in RNAcentral is "lncRNA (ENSPPYG00000033695.1)". Lineage: Eukaryota; Metazoa; Chordata; Mammalia; Primates; Hominidae. The record is from RNAcentral.